AAACGUACGCUGGCGGCACGCCUAACACAUGCAAGUCGAACGAAGUAGCAAUACUUAGUGGCAGACGGGUGAGUAACAUGUAGGUAUCUGCCCUUUGGCCUGGAAUAACACGAGGAAACUUGUGCUAAUACCGGAUAAGUCUUUACGGAGAAAGCUUUAUGCACCAUUGGAUGAGCCUGCACUUGAUUAGUUUGUUGGUGGGGUAAUGGCCUACCAAGACUGUGAUCAAUAGCUGAUUUGAGAGGAUGAUCAGCCACAUUGGGACUGAGACACGGCCCAAACUCCUACGGGAGGCAGCAGUGGGGAAUCUUGCACAAUGGAGGAAACUCUGAUGCAGCGAUGCCGCGUGAGUGAAGAAGGCCCUUGGGUUGUAAAGCUCUUUCGUCGGGGAAGAAAAUGACUGUACCCGAAUAAGAAGGUCCGGCUAACUUCGUGCCAGCAGCCGCGGUAAUACGAAGGGACCUAGCGUAGUUCGGAAUUACUGGGCUUAAAGAGUUCGUAGGUGGUUGAAAAAGUUAGUGGUGAAAUCCCAGAGCUUAACUCUGGAACUGCCAUUAAAACUUUUCAGCUAGAGUAUGAUAGAGGAAAGCAGAAUUUCUAGUGUAGAGGUGAAAUUCGUAGAUAUUAGAAAGAAUACCAAUUGCGAAGGCAGCUUUCUGGAUCAUUACUGA
RNAcentral lists this ribosomal RNA (671 nucleotides) under alpha proteobacterium IMCC14592. RNAcentral describes it as "bacterial SSU rRNA". It matches the Rfam family "Bacterial small subunit ribosomal RNA", at positions 26 to 743 of the family's 1533-position model. The record is from RNAcentral. Lineage: Bacteria; Pseudomonadati; Pseudomonadota; Alphaproteobacteria.